UGGGGAAUCUUGCACAAUGGGGGCAACCCUGAUGCAGCGACGCCGCGUGAGCGAUGAAGCCCUUCGGGGCGUAAAGCUCUUUCGACCGGAACGAUAAUGACGGUACCGGGAGAAGAAGCUGCGGCUAACUACGUGCCAGCAGCCGCGGUAAUACGUAGGCAGCAAGCGUUGUUCGGAGUUACUGGGCGUAAAGAGUGCGUAGGCGGUUUUCUAAGUUCGGUGUGAAAUCUCCCGGCUUAACUGGGAGGGUGCGCCGAAGACUGGGAAGCUGGAGUGUGGGAAAGGCAGGCGGAAUUCCUGGUGUAGCGGUGAAAUGCGCAGAUAUCAGGAGGAACACCGGCGGUGUAGACGGCUUGCUAGACCAUAACUGACGCUGAGGCACGAAAGCGUGGGUAGCAAACA
RNAcentral lists this ribosomal RNA (402 nucleotides) under uncultured bacterium. Its description in RNAcentral is "bacterial SSU rRNA". It matches the Rfam family "Bacterial small subunit ribosomal RNA", at positions 355 to 774 of the family's 1533-position model. The record is from RNAcentral.